AUUGCACGCUGGCGGCAGGCCUAACACAUGCAAGUCGAGCGGAGCGGCGGACGGGCGAGUAAUGCAUAGGAAUCUGCCUGGUAGGGGUGGAUAACGUCCGGAAACGGGAGCUAAUACCGCAUACUAUUAGAUGAGCCUAGUUCGGAUUAGCUAGUUGGUGGGGUAAAGGCUUACGAAGGCGACGAUCCUUAACUGUUCUGAGAGGAUGAUCAGUCACACUGGAACUGAGACACGCUCCAGACGCCUACGGUAGGCAGCAGUGGGGAAUAUUGGACAAUGGGCGAAAGCCUGAUCCAGCCAUGCCGAGUGUGUGAAGAAGGUCUUCGGAUUGUAAAGCACUUUAAGUUGGGAGGCGUUACCAACAGAAUAAGCACCGGCUAACUUCGUGCCAGCAGCCGCGGUAAUAC
Molecule: ribosomal RNA, 407 nt
Filed under: uncultured bacterium
Lineage: Bacteria
Description: partial 16S ribosomal RNA
Rfam family: Bacterial small subunit ribosomal RNA
Source: RNAcentral